RNAcentral lists this long non-coding RNA (773 nucleotides) under Helianthus annuus (common sunflower). RNAcentral's name for it is "hypothetical non coding rna". Lineage: Eukaryota; Viridiplantae; Streptophyta; Magnoliopsida; Asterales; Asteraceae. The record is from RNAcentral.
GAACCUUCAAAAACCGCCAUUGGAGGAUCUUCUUGAUCGUCAUCAAUCACUCGCGAAAUUACAUAUCAGCUAAACAACACCAACACUCGAACCUUCCUCUUGCAGAUUCGGUAGGUUCAUUUCUACGUUUACGUGACGUCAUUUGUUGUUGAAGGUGGUUGAUUGUUGUUUUCAAUCGCCAUUAGAAGAAAAGAUUCGAUGUUGUGGACGAUUUUACCCUCAGUGAAAUUGUUUGUGCUUUUGGAACACUAUGUGAGGAUGAAAUAGGCCACUUGACCUGCAUGUGAUAAAAAGUUAUUGUCAACUUUUUUGUUGUUUUGUGUUUGGUUGUGGUCUAUGAUGUGUGUUUUCCAGUUGUAGAAAGUGUGAUAGAUGCCUAACCACAAGUUGUUUGGUAUUUGUCCUUUGAACACUUUGAGAAGGUACAAAACUACAAAUAUACCUAAUUAUAGUAGAAAUACAUGUAGAGUAGUUGUAUAUAAAUAUAAUAAAAGUCUCCCAACUUAAUUCCAAAAUUUUGGAAUAUUUUUUUUGCUAUAUGGUAAUCGUGAGAACUUGUUUAUCGGAAAACUCACGGGACCCGCCAAUAUCCUGCUAAUCAACUGAUCAGUUAAAUCUUAGCUUACAUUGGGCAAGUGGCCAGUGGCGGACCUAGAAAUUAUUUGCUGAGGGUGCAGAUGAGGUGUUCAACCAUAUUUUCAAGGGGUGCGAUCGGAUUUUUUGCCUAAAAUAUACACUAAUUUUUUUUUCAAGGGGUGCGGCCGCCCACCCUG